UAGGAGAAUUUUCUCCCGCAUAUAGUUCUUCAAUUUCCCACAAAUGAUGCUGAAAAAUUAUAAAAUUUAGUUUCUAAAUACUUUCAGUAGUGUAGAUCAAGUUUAACGGAGCCGAUCGUCAAUUUAGAAGCCGCAUCAUUGUAAACAACUUGGUAGCACGGAGGCCUCCGUGCUACCGAUAGUAUACCAGCCUAACUCUCUCUCUCUCUCUCUCUCUCUCUCUCUCUCUAUAUAUAUAUAUAUAUAUAUAUAUAA
RNAcentral lists this long non-coding RNA (255 nucleotides) under Ananas comosus (pineapple). RNAcentral describes it as "long non-coding RNA (ACOM_LNC020705)". Lineage: Eukaryota; Viridiplantae; Streptophyta; Magnoliopsida; Poales; Bromeliaceae. The record is from RNAcentral.